RNAcentral lists this ribosomal RNA (253 nucleotides) under uncultured bacterium. RNAcentral describes it as "partial 16S ribosomal RNA". It matches the Rfam family "Bacterial small subunit ribosomal RNA", at positions 524 to 776 of the family's 1533-position model. The record is from RNAcentral.
UACAGAGGUCUCAAGCGUUGUUCGGAUUCAUUGGGCGUAAAGGGUGCGUAGGUGGCGUCGUAAGUCAGGUGUGAAAUCUCGGAGCUUAACUCCGAAACUGCAUUUGAUACUGCGGUGCUUGAGGACUGGAGAGGAGACUGGAAUUCAUGGUGUAGCAGUGAAAUGCGUAGAGAUCAUGAGGAAGACCAGUGGCGAAGGCGGCUCACUGGCCCGAUACUGACGCUGAGGCACGAAAGCGUGGGGAGCAAACAGG